UGGGGAAUUUUGGACAAUGGGCGAAAGCCUGAUCCAGCAAUGCCGCGUGCAGGAUGAAGGCCUUCGGGUUGUAAACUGCUUUUGUACGGAACGAAAAAGCUUCUCCUAAUACGAGAGGCCCAUGACGGUACCGUAAGAAUAAGCACCGGCUAACUACGUGCCAGCAGCCGCGGUAAUACGUAGGGUGCGAGCGUUAAUCGGAAUUACUGGGCGUAAAGCGUGCGCAGGCGGUUAUGUAAGACAGAUGUGAAAUCCCCGGGCUCAACCUGGGAACUGCAUUUGUGACUGCAUGGCUAGAGUACGGUAGAGGGGGAUGGAAUUCCGCGUGUAGCAGUGAAAUGCGUAGAUAUGCGGAGGAACACCGAUGGCGAAGGCAAUCCCCUGGACCUGUACUGACGCUCAUGCACGAAAGCGUGGGGAGCAAACAGGAUUAGAUACCCCUGGUAGUCCACGCCCCUAAACGAUGUCAACUGGUUGUUGGGGAAUUAGUUUUCUCAGUAACGAAGCUAACGCGUGAAGUUGACCGCCUGGGGAGUACGGCCGCAAGGUUGAAACUUAAAUGAAUU
This 566-nucleotide ribosomal RNA is filed under the name uncultured bacterium. RNAcentral's name for it is "partial 16S ribosomal RNA". It matches the Rfam family "Bacterial small subunit ribosomal RNA", at positions 355 to 911 of the family's 1533-position model. The record is from RNAcentral.